GACGAACGCUGGCGGCGUGCUUAACACAUGCAAGUCGAACGGAAAGGCCCUGCUUGCAGGGUACUCGAGUGGCGAACGGGUGAGUAACACGUGGGUGAUCUGCCCUGCACUUCGGGAUAAGCCUGGGAAACUGGGUCUAAUACCGGAUAGGAGCCAUUUUUAGUGUGAUGGUUGGAAAGUUUUUUCGGUGUAGGAUGAGCUCGCGGCCUAUCAGCUUGUUGGUGGGGUAAUGGCCUACCAAGGCGGCGACGGGUCGCCGGCCUGAGAGGGUGGACGGCCACAUGGGGACUGAGAUACGGCCCAGACUCCAACGGGAGGCAGCAGGGGGGAAUAUUGCACAAUGGGCGCAAGCCGGAUGCAGCGACGCCGGGUGGGGGAUGACGGCCUGCGGGUUGUAAACUCCUUUCGCUAGGGACGAAGCUGUUGUGACGGUACCUAGAGAAGAAGCACCGGCUAACUACGUG
This 464-nucleotide ribosomal RNA is filed under the name uncultured bacterium. RNAcentral's name for it is "partial 16S ribosomal RNA". It matches the Rfam family "Bacterial small subunit ribosomal RNA", at positions 28 to 507 of the family's 1533-position model. The record is from RNAcentral.